Molecule: ribosomal RNA, 324 nt
Filed under: Candidatus Cardinium sp.
Lineage: Bacteria; Pseudomonadati; Bacteroidota; Cytophagia; Cytophagales; Amoebophilaceae
Description: bacterial SSU rRNA
Rfam family: Bacterial small subunit ribosomal RNA
Source: RNAcentral
GCAAGCGUUAUCCGGUUUUAUUGGGUUUAAAGGGUGCGUAGGCGGCUUAUUAAGUCAGUUGUGAAUCCUAGUGCUUAACGCUAGAACUGCAAUUGAUACUACUAGGCUUGAGUUAAGAAGAGGUAGGCAGAAUUUAUGGUGUAGUAGUGAAAUGCUUAAAUAUCAUAAGGAAUACCAAUAGCGUAGGCAGCUUACUGGUCUUUAACUGACGCUGAGGCACGAAAGCGUGGGGAGCAAACAGGAUUACAUACCCUGGUAGUCCACGCUGUAAACAAUGAUCACUCGAUAUACAUGAUGCUUCAUGUGUGUCUAAGCGAAAGCGUU